GUGCCAGUAGCGCGGUAAUACAGAGGGUGCAAGCGUUAAUCGGAAUUACUGGGCGUAAAGCGCGCGUAGGUGGUUUGUUAAGUUGGAUGUGAAAUCCCCGGGCUCAACCUGGGAACUGCAUCCAAAACUGGCAAGCUAGAGUACGGUAGAGGGUGGUGGAAUUUCCUGUGUAGCGGUGAAAUGCGUAGAUAUAGGAAGGAACACCAGUGGCGAAGGCGACCACCUGGACUGAUACUGACACUGAGGUGCGAAAGCGUGGGGAGCAAACAGGAUUAGAUACCCGGGUAGUCC
RNAcentral lists this ribosomal RNA (291 nucleotides) under uncultured bacterium. RNAcentral's name for it is "partial 16S ribosomal RNA". It matches the Rfam family "Bacterial small subunit ribosomal RNA", at positions 505 to 796 of the family's 1533-position model. The record is from RNAcentral.